RNAcentral lists this ribosomal RNA (459 nucleotides) under uncultured bacterium. RNAcentral's name for it is "partial 16S ribosomal RNA". It matches the Rfam family "Bacterial small subunit ribosomal RNA", at positions 338 to 795 of the family's 1533-position model. The record is from RNAcentral.
CCUACGGGAGGCAGCAGUGAGGAAUAUUGGUCAAUGGGCGCGAGCCUGACCCAGCCACGUAGCGUGAAGGAUGACUGCCCUACGGGUUGUAACCUUCUUUUAUAAAGGAGUAAAGUGAGGCACGUGUGCCUUUUUGUGUGUACUUUAUGUAUAAGGCUCGUCUAACUCCGUGCCAGCAGCCGCGGUAAUACGGAGGAUCCGAGCGUUAUCCGGAUUUAUUGGGUUAAAGGGGAUCGUAGGCGGAAUAUCAAAUCAGCGGUAAAAAUUCGGGGCUCAACCCCGUCGUGCCGUUGAAACUGAUGUUCUUGAGUGGUCGAGAAGUAUGCGGAAUGCGGGGUGUAGCGGUGAAAUGCAUAGAUAUCACGCAGAACUCCGAUGGCGAAGGCAGCAUACCGGCGCCCAACUGACGCUGAAGCACGAAAGCGUGGGUAGCGAACAGGAUUAGAUACCCCAGUAGUC